UUGUACCUACGGGGCGCAGCAGUAGGGAAUAUUGCUCAAUGGGGGAAACCCUGAAGCAGCAACGCCGCGUGGAGGAUGAAGGUUUUCGGAUUGUAAACUCCUUUUGUUAGAGAAGAUAAUGACGGUAUCUAACGAAUAAGCACCGGCUAACUCCGUGCCAGCAGCCGCGGUAAUACGGAGGGUGCAAGCGUUACUCGGAAUCACUGGGCGUAAAGAGUGCGUAGGCGGGGGAAUAAGUCAGAUGUGAAAUCCUGUAGCUUAACUACAGAACUGCAUUUGAAACUGUUA
RNAcentral lists this ribosomal RNA (288 nucleotides) under uncultured bacterium. RNAcentral's name for it is "partial 16S ribosomal RNA". It matches the Rfam family "Bacterial small subunit ribosomal RNA", at positions 333 to 638 of the family's 1533-position model. The record is from RNAcentral.